AUUUAAAUAGUUUAAUAAAAAUAUUGAUUUGUGGAAUCAAAGUUAUAAAGUAUAUUUUAAAUA
RNAcentral lists this transfer RNA (63 nucleotides) under Cantharis pellucida. Its description in RNAcentral is "tRNA-His". The record is from RNAcentral. Lineage: Eukaryota; Metazoa; Arthropoda; Insecta; Coleoptera; Cantharidae.